RNAcentral lists this ribosomal RNA (433 nucleotides) under uncultured bacterium. Its description in RNAcentral is "bacterial SSU rRNA". It matches the Rfam family "Bacterial small subunit ribosomal RNA", at positions 27 to 507 of the family's 1533-position model. The record is from RNAcentral.
GAACGAACGCUGGCGGCAUGCCUAACACAUGCAAGUCGAACGAAGCCUUCGGGCUUAGUGGCGCACGGGUGCGUAACACGUGGGAAUCUGCCCUUCGGUUCGGAAUAACAGUUAGAAAUGACUGCUAAUACCGGAUGAUGACGAAAGUCCAAAGAUUUAUCGCCGAAGGAUGAGCCCGCGUAGGAUUAGGUAGUUGGUAGGGUAAUGGCCUACCAAGCCGACGAUCCUUAGCUGGUCUGAGAGGAUGAUCAGCCACACUGGGACUGAGACACGGCCCAGACUCCUACGGGAGGCAGCAGUGGGGAAUAUUGGACAAUGGGCGAAAGCCUGAUCCAGCCAUGCCGCGUGAGUGAUGACGGCCUUAGGGUUGUAAAGCUCUUUACCCGGGAAGAUAAUGACGGUACCGGGAGAAUAAGCCCCGGCUAACUUCGUG